GAUGAACGCUGGCGGCGUGCUUAACACAUGCAAGUCGAACGGAAAGGCCCAAGCUUGCUUGGGUACUCGAGUGGCGAACGGGUGAGUAACACGUGGGUGAUCUGCCCUGCACUUCGGGAUAAGCCUGGGAAACUGGGUCUAAUACCGGAUAGGACCACGUCUUGGAUGUUGUGGUGGAAAGUUUUUUCGGUGUGGGAUGAGCUCGCGGCCUAUCAGCUUGUUGGUGGGGUAAUGGCCUACCAAGGCGUCGACGGGUAGCCGGCCUGAGAGGGUGUACGGCCACAUUGGGACUGAGAUACGGCCCAGACUCCUACGGGAGGCAGCAGUGGGGAAUAUUGCACAAUGGGCGCAAGCCUGAUGCAGCGACGCCGCGUGGGGGAUGACGGCCUUCGGGUUGUAAACUCCUUUCGCUAGGGACGAAGCGUGUUUGUGACGGUACCUGGAGAAGAAGCACCGGCUAACUACGUG
Molecule: ribosomal RNA, 468 nt
Filed under: uncultured bacterium
Lineage: Bacteria
Description: partial 16S ribosomal RNA
Rfam family: Bacterial small subunit ribosomal RNA
Source: RNAcentral